Coregonus clupeaformis (lake whitefish) is the source of this 395-nucleotide non-coding RNA. RefSeq annotates it as small Cajal body-specific RNA 2. The record is from RefSeq and is a predicted model, not a curated record. The transcript has a single exon. NCBI's taxonomy places the organism in Eukaryota, Metazoa, Chordata, Actinopteri, Salmoniformes, Salmonidae.
UAAACAAGACGGAAAUGCAGCCAUUCAUGUUUUCUUUGAAUGUUAGUGUGUAUAUGGUUGUUGUGUGCGUGUACGACUGAAUGUUUGUUUGAAUGUGGUGAGCGUACGAAUGAGAGAGUGUGAUUGUUUUAUGUUUGUAAGUCUAGCUACCAAAAAACUACACAGUGAUCUUAUUUGAUCUGGUCGGGGUUUGGCCUUGUCCCGAUUCUGAAAUGAUAUUACCCGACAUGCGAGCCCCUGAGGCGAUGAGCAUGAAGCUUCCACGAACUUCAGGGCUCCACAAGAAAUUGUGGUCAGAAGUGAUGACUCGAUCAGAUAUACUAGUGCCGAGGAGAUUUGUAGUUUUACCUCAUUCUCCACACCGGCCAAUGAGUAUAACAGCGAUUCUGAUCUGC